GAUGAACGCUGGCGGCGUGCCUAAUACAUGCCAGUCGAGCGAACGGACGAGAAGCUUGCUUCUCUGAUGUUAGCGGCGGACGGGUGAGUAACACGUGGAUAACCUACCUAUAAGACUGGGAUAACUUCGGGAAACCGGAGCUAAUACCGGAUAAUAUUUUGAACCGCAUGGUUCAAAAGUGAAAGACGGUCUUGCUGUCACUUAUAGAUGGAUCCGCGCUGCAUUAGCUAGUUGGUAAGGUAACGGCUUACCAAGGCAACGAUGCAUAGCCGACCUGAGAGGGUGAUCGGCCACACUGGAACUGAGACACGGUCCAGACUCCUACGGGAGGCAGCAGUAGGGAAUCUUCCGCAAUGGGCGAAAGCCUGACGGAGCAACGCCGCGUGAGUGAUGAAGGUCUUCGGAUCGUAAAACUCUGUUAUUAGGGAAGAACAUAUGUGUAAGUAACUGUGCACAUCUUGACGGUACCUAAUCAGAAAGCCACGGAUAACUACGUG
Molecule: ribosomal RNA, 497 nt
Filed under: uncultured bacterium
Lineage: Bacteria
Description: partial 16S ribosomal RNA
Rfam family: Bacterial small subunit ribosomal RNA
Source: RNAcentral